AGAGUUUGAUCCUGGCUCAGGAUGAACGCUGGCGGCGUGCUUAACACAUGCAAGUCGAACGGAGCGAUGACACGGAGUCUUCGGAUGAAGUGUUAUGGCUUAGUGGCGGACGGGUGAGUAACACGUGAGCAACCUACCUUUUGCAGGGGAAUAACUCUGGGAAACCAGAGCUAAUACCGCAUGCCGUGCGCUUGGGGCAUCCCAGGUGCAUGAAAGGAGCAAUCCGGCAGAAGAUGGGCUCGCGUCCGAUUAGGUAGUUGGAGAGGUAAUGGCUCCCCAAGCCGACGAUCGGUAGCCGGACUGAGAGGUCGACCGGCCACAUUGGGACUGAGAACGGCCCAGACUCCUACGGGAGGCAGCAGUGGGGAAUAUUGGGCAAUGGACGCAAGUCUGACCCAGCGAUGCCGCGUGAAGGAUGGAAGGCCCUCGGGUUGUAAACUUCUUUAGACAGGGAAGAAAGAAAUGACAUUACCUGUAGAAUAAGCCACGGCUAACUACGUGCCAGCAGCCGCGGUAAUUC
RNAcentral lists this ribosomal RNA (520 nucleotides) under uncultured bacterium. RNAcentral's name for it is "bacterial SSU rRNA". It matches the Rfam family "Bacterial small subunit ribosomal RNA", at positions 8 to 526 of the family's 1533-position model. The record is from RNAcentral.